AUGUUCAUUUCUCAUGUGCGUAAGGAUAAAAGGUUUAGCAAGUUGAAGAAUCUAUGUGAGCUUUCAGUUUUGAUGGUUGAGACAAGAAAGAAUGAACAAUAUUAUAUUGUUUACAAAAUUCUUAAGUUGGUUCUCAUUCUUCCGGUAGCCACUGCUAGCGUUGAGAGGGUAUUUUCCUCGAUGAAAUACGUGAAGAAUUCACUCAGAAACAAAAUGGGUGAUGAAUAUUUGAACGAUUGCUUGGUUACAUUCGUUGAGAGAGAAUUCUUCAGGCAAGUGAAAGAUGAGGAUGUCAUCAAUCUCUUCCGAAAAGGGGAUCGUAAAGUUAUAUUGUAA
RNAcentral lists this ribosomal RNA (336 nucleotides) under Triticum aestivum (bread wheat). RNAcentral's name for it is "partial small subunit ribosomal RNA". Lineage: Eukaryota; Viridiplantae; Streptophyta; Magnoliopsida; Poales; Poaceae. The record is from RNAcentral.